Molecule: long non-coding RNA, 4553 nt
Filed under: Lathyrus oleraceus (garden pea)
Lineage: Eukaryota; Viridiplantae; Streptophyta; Magnoliopsida; Fabales; Fabaceae
Description: Pisum sativum (pea) long non-coding RNA (PSAT_LNC040562)
Source: RNAcentral
AGUAAAUCCUCAAUUAUAUAAAUCAAUCAAACAUUUAUUGAGUAACAAACCUUGACAUUAACUAGUUUAGAAAGAUAUGUAUUGAACAUCAAAAUUAAUUAAAUAUAUACUUAUAUCCUGAAGAACAUAAAAUCAUCUUCUAUAUUCUGAUAAAUAAAAUAUUAACAUAAGUUAUAUAGACUAAAAAAUAUGCUAAAAUACGAAUUAUAAGUAGAAAAUGAAAAAUAAAAAAAGAAAAAGAAUAAUUACAAGAAAAUGAAAAGGAAAAAAAGAAAAAUAAAUAAAUACAAGAAAAUGAAAAUGAGACCGUAUGCUAUAAAGGAAACCAACUCAAUCAUUUAUCCAGUGUUACAUUAGCAUCACCUUUAUUAUUGUGAGAUCCUCAUAAUCUUAAAAAAUAUCUCAAUCUGAUCAAAACAAUACGAAAAACCCUAUCAUAAUCAUUCGUGACGCAAGAAUAAAAUUGAAAAUAAGAGGAAACACAGAUGAAUAGGGUGACAAAAUAAAUAAGUUAGAGAUGUGUAACCUUCAAAAUAUCAACCUAUAUACGAAAUCACUUGAUCUGUACAUUUGAUAGAUAAAAAAGAAAAUGACUCAUAAAAGAUAGAAAAAAAAAGGGAAAUAUGACAAUUUUUCAGCAGUACGUAUUUUUUUACCCUUUGUAUUUUUUUAUACAAUCAUAAAGUGAUCAUGAACAAGGGAUUUCUAUGAAAUAAUGUAAGCUAAAUAUUUCUAUUAAGUACAUCCUCAAUUAUAUAAAUCAAUAAAACAUGUAAUGAUUAACAAACGUUGACAUUAAAUAGUUUAGGAAGAUAUGUAUUGAACAUCAAAAUUAAUUAAAUAUAUACUUAUAUCCUAAAGAACAUACAAUGUCAUCUUCUAUAUUCUGAUAAUUAAACAAUUAACAUAAGUUAUACAGAUUAAAAAAUAUGCUAAAAUACUAAUUAUAAGUAGAAAAUGAAAAAGAAAAAAAGAAAACAGAAUAAUUAUAAGAAAAUGAAAAUGAGAUCGUGUGGUAUAAAGGAAACCAACUCAAUCAUUUUUCCAGUGUUACAUUAGCAUCACCUUUAUUAUUGUGAGAUCCUCAUAAUCCUAACAAACAUCUCAAUCUCAUCAAAACAAUACAAAAAACCCGAUCAUAAUCAUUGGUGAGGCAAGAAUAAAAUUGAAAAUAAGAGGAAACACAGAUGAAUAGAGUGACAAAAUAAACAAGUUAGAGAUGUGUAACCUUCAAAAGAUCAACCUAUAUCAGAAAUCACUUGAUCUGUACAUUUGAUAGAUAAGAAAGAAAAUGACUCAUAAAAGAAAGAAAAAAAAGGAAAAUAUGACAAUUUAUCAAGUGUACGUAUUUUUUUACCCUUUGUAUUUUGUUUAUACAAUCAUAAAGUGAUCAUGAACAAGAGAUUUCUAUUAAAUAGUGUAAGCUAAAUAUUUCUAUUAAGUACAUCCUCACUUAUAUAAAUCAAUCGAACAUGUAAUGAUUAACAAACCUUGACAUUAAAUAGUUUAGAAAGAUAUGUAUUGAACAUCAAAAUUAAUUAAAUAUAUACUUAUAUCCUAAAGAACAUACAAUGUCAUCUUCUAUAUUCUGAUAAUUAAACAAUUAACAUAAGUUAUACAGAUUAAAAAAUAUGCUAAAAUACUAAUUAUAAGUAGAAAAUGAAAAAGAAAAAAAGAAAACAGAAUAAUUAUAAGAAAAUGAAAAUGAGAUCGUGUGGUAUAAAGGAAACCAACUCAAUCAUUUUUCCAGUGUUACAUUAGCAUCACCUUUAUUAUUGUGAGAUCCUCAUAAUCCUAACAAACAUCUCAAUCUCAUCAAAACAAUACAAAAAACCCGAUCAUAAUCAUUGGUGAGGCAAGAAUAAAAUUGAAAAUAAGAGGAAACACAGAUGAAUAGAGUGACAAAAUAAACAAGUUAGAGAUGUGUAACCUUCAAAAGAUCAACCUAUAUCAGAAAUCACUUGAUCUGUACAUUUGAUAGAUAAGAAAGAAAAUGACUCAUAAAAGAAAGAAAAAAAAGGAAAAUAUGACAAUUUAUCAAGUGUACGUAUUUUUUUACCCUUUGUAUUUUGUUUAUACAAUCAUAAAGUGAUCAUGAACAAGAGAUUUCUAUUAAAUAGUGUAAGCUAAAUAUUUCUAUUAAGUACAUCCUCACUUAUAUAAAUCAAUCGAACAUGUAAUGAUUAACAAACCUUGACAUUAAAUAGUUUAGAAAGAUAUGUAUUGAACAUCAAAAUUAAUUAAAUAUAUACUUAUAUCCUAAAGAACAUACAAUGUCAUCUUCUAUAUUCUGAUAAUUAAACAAUUAACAUAAGUUAUACAGAUUAAAAAAUAUGCUAAAAUACUAAUUAUAAGUAGAAAAUGAAAAAGAAAAAAAGAAAACAGAAUAAUUAUAAGAAAAUGAAAAUGAGAUCGUGUGGUAUAAAGGAAACCAACUCAAUCAUUUUUCCAGUGUUACAUUAGCAUCACCUUUAUUAUUGUGAGAUCCUCAUAAUCCUAACAAACAUCUCAAUCUCAUCAAAACAAUACAAAAAACCCGAUCAUAAUCAUUGGUGAGGCAAGAAUAAAAUUGAAAAUAAGAGGAAACACAGAUGAAUAGAGUGACAAAAUAAACAAGUUAGAGAUGUGUAACCUUCAAAAGAUCAACCUAUAUCAGAAAUCACUUGAUCUGUACAUUUGAUAGAUAAGAAAGAAAAUGACUCAUAAAAGAAAGAAAAAAAAGGAAAAUAUGACAAUUUAUCAAGUGUACGUAUUUUUUUACCCUUUGUAUUUUGUUUAUACAAUCAUAAAGUGAUCAUGAACAAGAGAUUUCUAUUAAAUAGUGUAAGCUAAAUAUUUCUAUUAAGUACAUCCUCACUUAUAUAAAUCAAUCGAACAUGUAAUGAUUAACAAACCUUGACAUUAAAUAGUUUAGAAAGAUAUGUAUUGAACAUCAAAAUUAAUUAAAUAUAUACUUAUAUCCUAAAGAACAUACAAUGUCAUCUUCUAUAUUCUGAUAAUUAAACAAUUAACAUAAGUUAUACAGAUUAAAAAAUAUGCUAAAAUACUAAUUAUAAGUAGAAAAUGAAAAAGAAAAAAAGAAAACAGAAUAAUUAUAAGAAAAUGAAAAUGAGAUCGUGUGGUAUAAAGGAAACCAACUCAAUCAUUUUUCCAGUGUUACAUUAGCAUCACCUUUAUUAUUGUGAGAUCCUCAUAAUCCUAACAAACAUCUCAAUCUCAUCAAAACAAUACAAAAAACCCGAUCAUAAUCAUUGGUGAGGCAAGAAUAAAAUUGAAAAUAAGAGGAAACACAGAUGAAUAGAGUGACAAAAUAAACAAGUUAGAGAUGUGUAACCUUCAAAAGAUCAACCUAUAUCAGAAAUCACUUGAUCUGUACAUUUGAUAGAUAAGAAAGAAAAUGACUCAUAAAAGAAAGAAAAAAAAGGAAAAUAUGACAAUUUAUCAAGUGUACGUAUUUUUUUACCCUUUGUAUUUUGUUUAUACAAUCAUAAAGUGAUCAUGAACAAGAGAUUUCUAUUAAAUAGUGUAAGCUAAAUAUUUCUAUUAAGUACAUCCUCACUUAUAUAAAUCAAUCGAACAUGUAAUGAUUAACAAACCUUGACAUUAAAUAGUUUAGAAAGAUAUGUAUUGAACAUCAAAAUUAAUUAAAUAUAUACUUAUAUCCUAAAGAACAUACAAUGUCAUCUUCUAUAUUCUGAUAAUUAAACAAUUAACAUAAGUUAUACAGAUUAAAAAAUAUGCUAAAAUACUAAUUAUAAGUAGAAAAUGAAAAAGAAAAAAAGAAAACAGAAUAAUUAUAAGAAAAUGAAAAUGAGACCGUAUGGUAUAAAGGAAACCAACUCAAUCAUUUUUCCAGUGUUACAUUAGCAUCACCUUUAUUAUUGUGAGAUCCUCAUAAUCCUAACAAACAUCUCAAUCUUAUCAAAACAAUACGAAAAACCCUAUCAUAAUCAUUGGUGACGCAAGAAUAAAAUUGAAAAUAAGACGAAACACAGAUGAAUAGAGUGACAAAAUAAACAAGUUAGAGAUGUGUAACCUUCAAAAGAUCAACCUAUAUCAGAAAUCACUUGAUCUGUACAUUUGAUAGAUAAAAUAGAAAAUGACUCAUAAAAGAUAGAAAAAAAGUAAAAUAUGACAAUUUUUCAGCAGUACGAAUUUUUUAUCCUUUGUAUUUUUUUUAUACAAUCAUAAAGUGAUCAUGAACAAGAGAUUUCUAUUAAAUAAUGUAAGCUAAAUAUUUCUAUUAAGUACAUCCUCACUUAUAUAAAUCAAUAAAACAUGUAAUGAUUAAUAAACCUUGACAUUAAAUAGUUUAGAAAGAUAUGUAUUGAACAUCAAAAUUAAUUAAAUAUAUACUUAUAUCCUAAAGAACAUACAAUGUCAUCUUCUAUAUUCUGAUAAUUAAACAAUUAACAUAAUUUAUACAGAUUAAAAAAUAUGCUAAAAUAAUAAUUAUAAGUAGAAAAUGAAAAAGAAAAAAAGAAAACAGAAUAAUUAUAAGAAAAUGAAAAUGAGAUCGUGUGGUAUAAAGGAAACCAACUCAAUCAUUUUUC